GAUUCCUACGGGAGGCAGCAGUGGGGAAUAUUGCACAAUGGGCGCAAGCCUGAUGCAGCAACGCCGCGUGAGGGACGAAGGCCUUCGGGUUGUAAACCUCUUUUAGUAGGGAAGAAGCGACUGGGUUUUCCUGGGAGUGACGGUACCUGCAGAAAAAGCACCGGCUAACUACGUGCCAGCAGCCGCGGUAAUACGUAGGGUGCAAGCGUUGUCCGGAAUUAUUGGGCGUAAAGAGCUCGUAGGCGGUUUGUCGCGUCUGCUGUGAAAACCCGAGGCUCAACCUCGGGCCUGCAGUGGGUACGGGCAGACUGGAGUGCGGUAGGGGAGAUUGGAAUUCCUGGUGUAGCGGUGGAAUGCGCAGAUAUCAGGAGGAACACCAAUGGCGAAGGCAGAUCUCUGGGCCGUAACUGACGCUGAGGAGCGAAAGCAUGGGGAGCGAACAGGAUUAGAUACCCUGGUAGUCCAUGCCGUAAACGUUGGGAACUAGAUGUGGGGACCAUUCCACGGUCUCCGUGUCGCAGCUAACGCAUUAAGUUCCCCACCUGGGGAGUACGGCCGCAAGGCUAAAACUCAAAGGAAUUGACGGGGGCCCGCACAAGCGGCGGAGCAUGCGGAUUAAUUCGACGCAACGCGAAGAACCUUACCAAGGCUUGACAUAUACCGGAAACGGUUGGAAACAGUCGCCCCGCAAGGUCGGUAUACAGGUGGUGCAUGGUUGUCGUCAGCUCGUGUCGUGAGAUGUUGGGUUAAGUCCCGCAACGAGCGCAACCCUCGUCCUAUGUUGCCAGCACGUAAUGGUGGGAACUCAUGGGAUACUGCCGGGGUCAACUCGGAGGAAGGUGGGGAUGACGUCAAAUCAUCAUGCCCCUUAUGUCUUGGGCUUCACGCAUGCUACAAUGGCCGGUACAAAGGGCUGCGAUACCGCAAGGUGGAGCGAAUCCCAAAAAGCCGGUCUCAGUUCGGAUUGAGGUCUGCAACUCGACCUCAUGAAGUCGGAGUCGCUAGUAAUCGCAGAUCAGCAACGCUGCGGUGAAUACGUUCCCGGGCCUUGUACACACCGCCAUCCAUAUG
This 1071-nucleotide ribosomal RNA is filed under the name uncultured Cryobacterium sp. RNAcentral describes it as "bacterial SSU rRNA". It matches the Rfam family "Bacterial small subunit ribosomal RNA", at positions 334 to 1403 of the family's 1533-position model. Lineage: Bacteria; Bacillati; Actinomycetota; Actinomycetes; Micrococcales; Microbacteriaceae. The record is from RNAcentral.